Molecule: long non-coding RNA, 1426 nt
Filed under: Pan paniscus (pygmy chimpanzee)
Lineage: Eukaryota; Metazoa; Chordata; Mammalia; Primates; Hominidae
Description: lncRNA (ENSPPAG00000044826.1)
Source: RNAcentral
CAAAGGAAAUGCAGGAGGAGGCUGCCAGCACACCCACGCCCCUUGCGACGCGUUCUCCAUGGCAGCAGCCAAAGCUGCAGAGAAGUGGGCAUGACCGGAACUAAGUGGGCUUGCAGAAUCACAGGCCCCUCAGAGAUUUGCAGGGCGGACAGCAAAGAAAAGGAGGCCAGAGGCCUGUGGCAGCCUGUCCCCAAGCCACACAGCCAGGAGAUGGCAGGGCUGGGACCAGCGGGACAGCCAAGGAGAUGGAAAGAUCAGAUGACAAUGAAAAUAUUCACAGCCAGCCUGGCUGGGGCCUGGGCAGUCAGAACAAACACCCCUGGAGGCAUUGGGCCCCAGCAGGUGCCCUCGGAGUGCACAUGAGCUGAUGGAUCCUCAGCCUUGGUGGCAGUUGUGAAGAGGAGGAGUGGUAAGGAAUGGGGAAAUACGGUGAGUGCAAACUCUGUCUCCCUGUCAUCACACCCCAUGCCUAACAGACAUUAUCGCAUUUCACUCUCACAAUCAGACUUUUAAAGCAGGGGAUGUCAUUAGCUCCAUUUUACAUAGGAGGGUCCUCCAGCUUCAUUAGGGUAAAUAACUUGCUCAUCUAAAAGAGAACAGAGACGGGAGUCAGCCCUUGUUCUGCCGGGGUGCCAAAGGGUAGGGAGCUCUGGGCCCACCCCGACUGCUGCCCCCACUCCCCCGCCUGCCCAGCUCUCACUUGCUGCACACAGGAGGCCAUGCUUGAUGUGAGCUCCUGCACCCGACAGGGGCCAGCCCUGUGUGGGCCUGUGGAAAGCCCCACUCCGUGCUGCCUUCUACCCCUUAGGAUUCUGACCUAAGCUCCUGGGCCUCCUGUGGCCACAGGGCAUGGCCUGAGCCGGACACCCUCAGCUGAGAGCGGCUGUGGCAGGCCCAGAUUUACGGCUUUGUUAUUCCUGUGUUUUGGAGAUUUUACAGCCCCGUGCUCCCUCGAGAACCCUGUGCUUUCUCUAGGACAUAUCAGUCAGACGGCGGAGGAAAUAUCCCAAAUGCUGGGAACAUCCUGUGUCACGGUGUCUCCCGGGCCCAGGUACCCACGACCUUUUGUUUGCAGCCUGAGGGAGGAGGAGACUGAUAAAGUGCGGGGGCUGGGGGGAGGGCCGGCGGCCCCUCUGGUGCCCUGGUUUGUUCUGGUUUGUUCUCCAAGGCGACACACGUCCCAAGCUUCCUGACCAAAACAGUCAUCGCCGUGGGCCUCUGGUGCGGAGCCAGUGCUCACGCUGCAGUGAGCGCCUCUUCAUUCGCCUCCCGUCCGUUUGGGGCAGAUAGCUGACUCUGCAAGGAGCCCCCACACUGGCCAGUGGGGUCCAGCGGCGUUUUGCCUGCGUGGGAUACAAGGCCCUAUUGUCCUGUGCCACCCCUCCCCCACGCCCACUGCCUCCCCAGAACCCUCCAGGCUGCAGCU